UACGAGGGGGGCUAGCGUUGCUCGGAAUCACUGGGCGUAAAGCGCACGUAGGCGGACUCUUAAGUCGGGGGUGAAAGCCCAGGGCUCAACCCUGGAACUGCCUUCGAUACUGGGAGUCUUGAGUGUGGAAGAGGUUGGUGGAACUGCGAGUGUAGAGGUGAAAUUCGUAGAUAUUCGCAAGAACACCAGUGGCGAAGGCGGCCAACUGGUCCACUACUGACGCUGAGGUGCGAAAGCGUGGGGAGCAAACAGG
Molecule: ribosomal RNA, 253 nt
Filed under: uncultured bacterium
Lineage: Bacteria
Description: partial 16S ribosomal RNA
Rfam family: Bacterial small subunit ribosomal RNA
Source: RNAcentral